GUUUACCUGGUUAGACAUUUUUUAUAAAUAGACUUAUACAGAGAAGAUUAGCGUGGCCCCUGUCCAAGAUGGCACGCAAAUUCCUGAAUACAACUGUAAAAGA
This is a small nuclear RNA of Molossus molossus (Pallas's mastiff bat), 103 nucleotides long. Lineage: Eukaryota; Metazoa; Chordata; Mammalia; Chiroptera; Molossidae. The record is from RefSeq and is a predicted model, not a curated record.